GAUGAACGCUGGCGGCGUGCCUAAUACAUGCAAGUCGAGCGAACAGACGAGGAGCUUGCUCCUCUGACGUUAGCGGCGGACGGGUGAGUAACACGUGGAUAACCUACCUAUAAGACUGGGAUAACUUCGGGAAACCGGGGCUAAUACCGGAUAAUAUAUUGAACCGCAUGGUUCAAUAGUGAAAGACGGUUUUGCUGUCACUUAUAGAUGGAUCCGCGCCGCAUUAGCUAGUUGGCAAGGUAACGGCUUACCAAGGCAACGAUGCGUAGCCGACCUGAGAGGGUGAUCGGCCACACUGGAACUGAGACACGGUCCAGACUCCUACGGGAGGCAGCAGUAGGGAAUCUUCCGCAAUGGGCGAAAGCCUGACGGAGCAACGCCGCGUGAGUGAUGAAGGUCUUCGGAUCGUAAAACUCUGUUAUUAGGGAAGAACAAAUGUGUAAGUAACUAUGCACGUCUUGACGGUACCUAAUCAGAAAGCCACGGCUAACUACGUG
This 497-nucleotide ribosomal RNA is filed under the name uncultured bacterium. RNAcentral describes it as "partial 16S ribosomal RNA". It matches the Rfam family "Bacterial small subunit ribosomal RNA", at positions 28 to 507 of the family's 1533-position model. The record is from RNAcentral.